This 285-nucleotide unclassified non-coding RNA is filed under the name plant metagenome. RNAcentral's name for it is "partial contains small subunit ribosomal RNA, internal transcribed spacer 1, and 5.8S ribosomal RNA". The stretch from base 1 to 54 matches the Rfam family "Eukaryotic small subunit ribosomal RNA", at positions 1778 to 1831 of the family's 1831-position model. The record is from RNAcentral.
GGAAGUAAAAGUCGUAACAAGAUUUCCGUAGGUGAACCUGCGGAAGGAUCAUUAUUGUAUAACCGAGGUGCGAGGGCUGUCGCUGACCCGAAAGGUCGUGCACGCCCGAGUGCCCUCACACACAUCCAUCUCACCCCUAUGUGCACCACCGCGUGGGUCCCCCUUUGGCUUGCUCGGAGGGGGGCUUACGUUUUCACACAAACUUUGUAUGCAGUGUAGAAUGUAUUUUUUGUUUUUGCGAUCACGCAAUCAAUACAACUUUCAACAACGGAUCUCUUGGUUCUC